RNAcentral lists this transfer RNA (58 nucleotides) under Chamaeleo monachus (monarch chameleon). RNAcentral's name for it is "tRNA-Ser". The record is from RNAcentral. Lineage: Eukaryota; Metazoa; Chordata; Lepidosauria; Squamata; Chamaeleonidae.
GAAAGGUUCAUAAGAACUGCUAACUCCUACAACUGAUGUUAACCCACCAGGCCUUUCA